Non-coding RNA from Podarcis lilfordi (Lilford's wall lizard), 74 nucleotides. The record is from the annotation of a GenBank genome assembly. NCBI's taxonomy places the organism in Eukaryota, Metazoa, Chordata, Lepidosauria, Squamata, Lacertidae.
AGAGCAGUGUAGCUCUGUGGUACGGCAUCUGCCUUGCAUGCCAAAGGCUCCAGGUCCAAUCCCUGGUAUCUCUG